AAGAGCCACCCAAAAACGCGCGCAGGAACAGCAACGUGUUCAUAAUAACUCACUGCAGGACUUAUUAAAACAACGGAGAUUUAACUAGAGCAAUGGACCAAUUGCUAAAAACAGCGAAGAAAUAAGAUGCCGAUUAAGGCGAUUUAACCCAGGCGGAAGUGGCAGAAAAAAAGAAAAGAAAGUGAAGUUCAUUCAUUCAUUUCCUUCUCGCAACAGUGGGCGGAAUUUAAGCCAGAUGGGGGAUUUUGAAAAGUGGGAUAUUUGAGUGUCUCCUCAGGCCUCUGAGAAGAGUCUGGAGACUCCUGUGCUGCCGUGGACCUGAAGAGACUGAAAUCAAGCUUUCAGUGGAAGAAACAUCACCAGUGUUCGGUGACCAUAGCUCUGUCCGUCCAUGGUGAAGAUGAGAUGAUAAUAAUGAAUCCACUGAAGACCAGACAGACGACAGAAAUUUUGGACCUACAUUUUAAAGCCAAGUUUAAAAGACUGAGAAAUGGGUAUACUUCUCCUCGAAUCAUCGGUCCAGCUGUCCGACAUGUCCAUCUGUCUGCCAUACUGACAUGAAAUGUGACUGCUGCCAGAAUGUGAUGUGUAAUGGCCAAGUUAUGUGUAUUUUAUCAUUAUUACCUGCUCAGGUGACCAUAGUUUGCACAAGCUCUUCAGCCAUUGUCUCUUCAUCCUAAUAGACCCAAGUUGUUUGGUUUAGGUCCAUGCAAGGAGGCAUUAGAUCAUUAGCAAGAUAAUGAAGUGCUGUACCAGUGAAGUGUCCUUAAAUUUUAAACCUAUACUGUUGUUUCAAGUACUGUCUUUUGGUUUUAAAAAGCGUAUGCACAUGUUGGUGCAUAAGCAAAAGCUGUGGCUGAAUGUUUUCAUACAGAAAUCAUGAUUCAUCCAUAGUUACAGUAAUGCAAAAAGUCUUUGCACCAUCUUUGUUUGCUCUGGAUGAGAAUGCACCUCUAGGGAGCGCGGUGCGUUUGAUAGUCCCUCAUUUAGAGUUCAUUAAGGUAAGAACAAGUAACUGUUGUGA
Long non-coding RNA from Carassius carassius (crucian carp), 1024 nucleotides. RefSeq lists it as uncharacterized. The record is from RefSeq and is a predicted model, not a curated record. Lineage: Eukaryota; Metazoa; Chordata; Actinopteri; Cypriniformes; Cyprinidae. The transcript has 4 exons.